UGCCCGAUGGUGUAAUGGCAGCACAGACGACUUUGACUCGUCUAGUCAUGGUUCGAAUCCAUGUCGGGCAGCCA
RNAcentral lists this transfer RNA (74 nucleotides) under Verrucomicrobiota bacterium. Its description in RNAcentral is "Verrucomicrobia bacterium (groundwater metagenome) tRNA-Gln". It matches the Rfam family "tRNA". Rfam says of the family: Transfer RNA (tRNA) molecules are approximately 80 nucleotides in length. The record is from RNAcentral. Lineage: Bacteria; Pseudomonadati; Verrucomicrobiota.